This 256-nucleotide ribosomal RNA is filed under the name uncultured bacterium. RNAcentral's name for it is "partial 16S ribosomal RNA". It matches the Rfam family "Bacterial small subunit ribosomal RNA", at positions 524 to 776 of the family's 1533-position model. The record is from RNAcentral.
UACGGGGGGAGCAAGCGUUGUUCGGAUUUACUGGGCGUAAAGGGCGCGUAGGCGGCCACCGCAAGUCGACUGUGAAAUCUCCGGGCUUAACCCGGAAAGGUCAGCCGAUACUGCGGGGCUAGAGUGCAGAAGGGGCAACUGGAAUUCUCGGUGUAGCGGUGAAAUGCGUAGAUAAUCGAGAGGAACACCUGCGGCGAAGGCGGGUUGCUGGGCUGACACUGACGCUGGAAGCGCGAAAGCGUGGGGAGCAAACAGG